Molecule: RNA transcript, 4347 nt
Organism: Onychomys torridus (southern grasshopper mouse)
Lineage: Eukaryota; Metazoa; Chordata; Mammalia; Rodentia; Cricetidae
Gene: Pde7a
Gene name: phosphodiesterase 7A
Exons: 14
Source: RefSeq, a predicted model, not a curated record
GCAGGGGCGGGCGGCCGCGGACUGGCGGGCGCCGCGCGGAGGCAAGGCGGGCGUGUUCAAUGGAAGUAUGCUACCAGCUGCCGGUGCUGCCCCUGGACAGGCCGGUCCCCCAGCACGUCCUCAGCCGCCGAGGAGCCAUCAGCUUCAGCUCCAGCUCCGCGCUCUUCGGCUGCCCGCAUCCCCGGCAGCUCUCGCAGAGACGUGGAGCUAUUUCCUAUGACAGUUCUGAUCAGACUGCGUUAUAUAUUCGUAUGCUAGGAGAUGUCCGCGUAAGAAGCCGUGCAGGAUUUGAAGCAGAAAGAAGAGGUUCACACCCAUAUAUUGACUUCCGUGUUUUCCACUCUCAGUCUGAAAUUGAAGCGUCAGUGUCCGCCAGGAACAUCAGAAGGCUGCUAAGUUUCCAGCGCUAUCUCAGAUCCUCGCGCUUUUUCCGGGGCGCCACAGUUCCUAGCUCUCUAAACAUUCUAGAUGACGAUUAUAAUGGACAAGCCAAGUGUAUGCUGGACAGAGUUGGAAACUGGAAUUUUGAUAUCUUUCUGUUUGACAGACUAACAAAUGGAAAUAGUCUAGUAAGUUUAACCUUUCAUUUAUUUAGUCUUCAUGGAUUGAUUGAGUACUUCCAUUUAGAUAUGGUGAAACUCCGUCGAUUUUUAGUUAUGAUUCAAGAAGAUUACCACAGUCAAAAUCCUUACCACAAUGCGGUCCAUGCUGCAGACGUUACUCAGGCCAUGCACUGUUACCUAAAGGAACCUAAGCUUGCGAAUUCUGUAACUCCUUGGGAUAUCUUGCUGAGCUUAAUUGCAGCUGCUACUCAUGAUCUGGAUCACCCAGGUGUUAAUCAGCCUUUCCUUAUCAAAACCAACCAUUAUUUGGCAACUUUAUACAAGAAUACCUCAGUCCUGGAAAAUCACCACUGGAGAUCAGCAGUGGGCUUGUUGAGAGAAUCUGGUUUGUUCUCACAUUUGCCACUGGAGAGCAGGCAGCAGAUGGAGACUCAGAUAGGUGCUUUAAUACUAGCCACAGACAUCAGUCGCCAGAACGAGUACCUGUCAUUGUUCAGAUCUCACCUGGACAGAGGUGACUUACACCUGGACGAUGGCAGACAUAGGCAUUUGGUUCUACAGAUGGCCUUGAAAUGUGCUGACAUUUGUAACCCAUGUCGGAACUGGGAAUUAAGCAAGCAGUGGAGUGAAAAAGUAACGGAGGAAUUCUUCCACCAAGGAGAUAUAGAAAAAAAGUAUCAUUUGGGUGUGAGUCCACUUUGCGAUCGUCAGACCGAGUCUAUUGCCAACAUCCAGAUUGGUUUUAUGACUUACCUGGUGGAGCCUUUAUUUACAGAGUGGGCCAGGUUUUCAGACACGAGGCUGUCACAGACAAUGCUCGGACAUGUGGGGCUGAAUAAAGCCAGCUGGAAGGGACUGCAAAGACAGCAGCCCAGCAGCGAGGAUGCCAAUGCUGCAUUUGAUUUGAACUCACAGUUGCUAACUCAGGAAAAUCAAUUAUCAUAACCCUGAACCAGUGGGAAAAACUCCCUCCUGCAAGAUUGGAACUGUGAAAUGGGUGUCGAGGUGAAGAACUGGUUCUGACUGCCGGGUUUCCAGGGAACUGAUGCCAGCAUUAUUUAUUAUUGCGUUUUCCUCUGUUUGGAUCGUUUGAGCCCACUUUUUAAUGAUAAGCCCUGAAUAUACAGCAAUAUGCAUCUGGCUUUUGUGUGAGACCUUGAAUAUUCAAAGCUCAGCAGGAGAACCAGAAAGGAUUAACAGAGGAAGACUUGCUGCCAUUUUCACAGUGUCCUCCAAGCCCUGAAACUUGAACCGAAUCUCAGCAGCAAUCUUGGUCUACCUGUCUGAUACAGCAGCGCAUCCAUCCCUUCCACUAUCUUCUCUCUGAGAAAACAGAAAUGUGAAGUGCCCAGCCUCUGCUGCCUCUGGCAAGACUCAAAUGUUUACAAAUCAACUCUGAAAUACUGGUUCUAAAUUGCCUUGGAGCAUGAUUGUGAAGGAACCACUGAGACAUUCACUGCUCGAACUGGAGACUGCAGCUCUCCUGUGGUUUGCCUUUUUUCUUCUUUGGAUGCCCUCAGAGCCUCUUGUUCACUGUUUUGUCUUGUGCACUGGAGAGUGAGUGGUUUUCACAGAGCACCAAGUGUUUCAUUCCAGUGCUGUGUGGCAAUGCAGAUUUUUAACUCUCCGUUUUUAAUUUGGGGCGGGAGGGAAGGAACACCAAUGUCCCAGCUGUGUCCAGACUCUGCAGUGAAGACACUGCAUGUUGUUUUCACUACUGUGCACUUGACCUGCACAUGCAAGAAAAAGGUGGAAUGUUUAACACACCAUAAUCAGCUCAGGGUAUUUGCCAAUCCGAAAUAAAGUGGGAUAGGAAAGUGUGUCCUUCAGAUCAAGGGAACUAAAGUCCCUUUCGCUGCAGUGCGUGAGAGGCAAAUCUCCUUGAGAAGCCAAAUUAGGAGCAGCUGGUUUACUCAGUGAGCAAGGAUUCUGAGCAAGGGACGCGUUUCCUCAUGCAUCCAUCUCCCUGUGGGGAUACCUGCUGAUAUCCAUAGCUGUGGACUGGGUACCCUCUUCCCCUGGGUGCUAGAGGUUCUCUGCCACUAGCUGCCCCUACACAUUAGCUUGAUUGGUAAUUCCACUGCAUCUGUUACUUCUUCAGCCCUUUUCUGUUGAGCUUGCCUAGGCAGUCACACUGCCUGGGGUGGCUGUUUACUUCUGCUGGUCUUGAGUUUACUACCACCAAGGUGUAGCUGUUUACAGCUCCUCAAAGGGAAGCUAGGUGAUGCUCCCAAACCCCAGAGUUGGUCUGCUUACAGCUGUGUGGGAAUUGCCUGACACCCUCUUGCUUCUUUGACUUAUAUUCCUUGAACAAUUGGUUCUUCCAGAAGAAUCUGAGGAAACAUUUCGAUCACAUUUUUUUUUUAAAGUAAGCAAACACAUAGUGCAAAAUUCAUGGCAUUUCAAGAUAAAUUGGACAUGUCAAAGAAUUUUUGAGGUUGUAGCAGCCAUUUGGGAGUCUGGGCCCAGUACUGAAGAGGAGGUGGGUGAGGGAGUCUGCUUUAGGGGUGAGAAAAAAUUAAGAAGUCCUACCUUAACUACAAAUCUGGUUCUUCAUUAAUAUUUGUAACAAGCCUCUUUGUAUUAAAAAAAAAAAAAAAGCAAAAAUUAUAUCUACUUUUGUCCUUUGCAAACCUGGAAAAAAUACUCUGUACCUGAGGUAUAGGUUAGAGGUGCUAGUGAUCCCUUCGAGGUUCUGCAUUGGUCUUUCCCACAAUGCUUUUUGGAUGUUUAUGUUUCCGAUUUAAGACUUAAAAACUGUCACAAGCUUGUCAUGUCUUGAGACCAGUAACUAAUGUAAUUCAUACUGCUUUUAAAGAAAUGUUCAGAGUAGUUAGCAUAUCUUCAAUGUGUAUUUGAAACAUAACUUACAUUGGAGAUUUGGGCCGCACCAUUCCCUACUAAGAACCUAUAUGGCAUUGGGAGGACCCCCAUGAGGACAUGGUCUUCAGGAGGGGUCACCACCACUGCAGGGCAACAUGGGGAUGAGCUGACAGAAAUAUAAAGGGUCUCAUGUUCUUGAGUGUGCAUGGCGUAGGGCAGGUGUAAAUUACUGUGGAGUGUGCCCUUUAGCUAUCAGAUUAUGGAGAAGGAAUUUACUAGGAGUGGUUUUGGUAGUGCUGAAGUUGUAUCAUAAACAGUGUCUGGGUUCCUGCUGUAUACAGAAGGUGACAAUGGGUGUUAGAAUUUUAAAGAGCAUUUCAAGUUACAAGCCAGGGUCUCCUUUCAAAUUUUCUUGGUGAAAGAAAAUGUUUGUCAUUAGCUUUCAGAAUUACAUAUGAAGGGAAUGCUGGGGCAUUGUUUGAGAGACUGGCUAAUGAUGAGACCAACGCCAUUCUUGUCUCUUAAUACCUGAAGCACUUACAGUCAGACUUUACUGUAGUUUUCGGUAUUCAGAAUGGUACUUUGUAUAAAAUACUGACUUCAUCAGCUACAUUUAAACUCCCUAGCUUUUCUAAGCUACCCUGGACUCCAUCUUUAGAAUCUGGUAGGAUGGGAGGGGACAGAGAAAUGCCAUUAUUCUCAAUAUUAUCGGCUGUGAACUUAAAAUUGAAACCUGCUGACUUAGUCAUUUACAGCUUUCAGUUGAUUCAGUAGUCUAUUAAAAAAUUCCAUCUUGUACUGGUCUUUAAGCUCUCACACUCUCUCUUUCCUUCUCGGGUGUGUGUGUGUGUGUGUGUGUGUGUGUGUGUGUGUGUGCGUAAAAUAAAUUUGAAGUAUGUCUUCACUGUUUGGACACGUCUUUAAAAUUUCAGAGAACUGUAAUGCUAUCAGUUUUUUUUAA